Molecule: ribosomal RNA, 403 nt
Filed under: uncultured bacterium
Lineage: Bacteria
Description: bacterial SSU rRNA
Rfam family: Bacterial small subunit ribosomal RNA
Source: RNAcentral
GACGAACGCUGGCGGCGUGCUUAACACAUGCAAGUGGAGCGACGAACCAGGCUUCGGCCUGGGGCAAAGCCGCGAACGGGUGAGUAACACGUGGGUAACCUGCCCCGAUGACUGGGACGAACCCGGGGAAACGUCGGGCGUAAUACCGGAUGUGCUCCCAUCACACAAGUGAUGUGAGUAAAGGUAGCUUCGGCCUCCGCAUCGGGAUGGGCCCGGCGGCCCAUUAGCUUGUUGGUGGGGUAACGGCCUACCAAGGCGACGAUGGGUAGCUGGUCUGAGAGGACGAUCAGCCACACUGGGACUGAGACACGGCCCAGACUCCUACGGGAGGCGGCAGUGGGGAAUCUUGCGCAAUGCGCGAAAGCGUGACGCAGCAACGCCGCGUGGGGGAAGAAGGCCUCGG